RNAcentral lists this ribosomal RNA (253 nucleotides) under uncultured bacterium. RNAcentral's name for it is "partial 16S ribosomal RNA". It matches the Rfam family "Bacterial small subunit ribosomal RNA", at positions 524 to 776 of the family's 1533-position model. The record is from RNAcentral.
UACAGAGGGUGCAAGCGUUGCUCGGAUUUACUGGGCGUAAAGCGUACGCAGACGGCCGCGCAGGUCGGGUGUGAAAGCCCUGAGCUCAACUCAGGAAUUGCAUUCGAAACCAUGUGGCUCGAGUGUGGGAGAGGGUAGUGGAAUUCCUGGUGUAGAGGUGAAAUUCGUAGAUAUCAGGAGGAACACCGGCGGCGAAGGCGGCUACCUGGUCCACAACUGACGUUCAGGUACGAAAGCGUGGGGAGCAAACAGG